This 490-nucleotide ribosomal RNA is filed under the name uncultured bacterium. Its description in RNAcentral is "partial 16S ribosomal RNA". It matches the Rfam family "Bacterial small subunit ribosomal RNA", at positions 28 to 507 of the family's 1533-position model. The record is from RNAcentral.
GAUGAACGCUAGCGAUAGGCUUAACACAUGCAAGUCGAGGGGCAGCAUGGUCUUAGCUUGCUAAGACUGAUGGCGACCGGCGCACGGGUGCGUAACGCGUAUGCAACUUGCCUCACAGAGGGGGAUAACCCGUCGAAAGACGGACUAAUACCGCGUACACUCCAUCUUGGGCAUCCAAGGUAGAGGAAAUGAAAUUCGCUGUGAGAUAGGCAUGCGUCCCAUUAGCUAGUUGGUGAGGUAACGGCUCACCAAGGCGACGAUGGGUAGGGGAACUGAGAGGUUGAACCCCCACGCUGGUACUGAGACACGGACCAGACUCCUACGGGAGGCAGCAGUGAGGAAUAUUGGUCAAUGGGCGAGAGCCUGAACCAGCCAAGUCGCGUGAAGGAUGACUGUCUUAUGGAUUGUAAACUUCUUUUAUACGGGAAGAACAAGAGUCACGUGUGACUCCCUGCAUGUACCGUAUGAAUAAGCAUCGGCUAACUCCGUG